CUCAGCGCCGAGAGGGAAAGAACCCAGACCGGCAGCUAAGGUCCCCAAUUCAUCGCUAAGUGGUAAAGGAUGUGGGAGCACUUAAACAGCCAGGAGGUUGGCUUAGAAGCAGCCAUCCUUUAAAGAAAGCGAAACAGCUCACUGGUCGAGUGAACCCGCGCCGAAAAUUCAACGGGUCUAAGCGAUGAACCGAAGCUCCGGGUCAGCGAAAGCUGGCGGUAGGCGAGUAUUGUCUGUGCAGAGAAGGCAUAUGGAAACGAGUGUUGGAGUGCAGACAAGAGCUGAUGUUGGCAUGAGUAGCGAUAAACCGGGUGAAAAACCCGGUCGCCGUAAACCCAAGGGUUCCUGGGUAAAGAUAAUCUUCUCAGGGUUAGUCGGUCCCUAAGGCGAGGCAGAGAUGCGUAGUCGAUGGGAAGCAGGCGAAUAUUCCUGCACCAGCACGGAUGGUUUCACGAGGGGGGACGGAGGAGGAUAGCCGAGCGGCCUGAUGGAUGGCCGUUCAAGCCAGUAGACAGGGUUUUCAGGAGGCGUAGGCCACAAACGGAGACCCAAUGUCGAGAGGUGAUGAGGGUCGUCUGGCUUGCCAGACGGACAACUCGGUGAUUCCCGGCUUCCAAGAAAAGCCCCGCGUGAGUGUACCGCUGUGCUGACCGUACCGUAAACCGACACAGGUGGGUGGGGAGAACAUCCCAAGGCGCUUGAGAGAACUCGGGCUAAGGAACUCGCAAAUUGACACCGUAACUUCGGGAGAAGGUGUGCCCUUGUGGGUGAAGGACUUCGCGUCUGGAGCCUAUGGGGGUUGCAGAGAAUCGGGGGUAGCGACUGUUUACCAAAAACACAGGACUCUGCGAAGUCGCAAGACGACGUAUAGGGUCUGACGCCUGCCCGGUGCCGGAAGGUUAACAGGAGAUGUCAGCGCAAGCGAAGCAUCGAAUCGAAGCCCCGGUAAACGGCGGCCGUAACAAUAACGGUCCUAAGGUAGCGAAAUUCCUUGGCGGGUAAGUUCCGUCCUGCACGAAUGGCGUAACGACUUCCCCACUGUCUCGACCCGGGACUCAGCGAAAUUGAAUUCGGGGUGAAGAUGCCCCGUACCCGCGGAAAGACGGAAAGACCCCGUGAACCUUUACUGCAGCUUGGCACUGGUUUUCGGACUUGUCUGUGUAGGAUAGGUGGGAGGCGUUGAAAUGGGGCCGCUAGGUCUCAUGGAGCCAGCGUUGAAAUACCACCCUGAGAAGUCUGAAAGCCUAACCGAGACCCGUAAGCCGGGUCCGGGACACUGCCUGGUGGGUAGUUUGACUGGGGCGGUCACCUCCGAAAGAGUAACGGAGGCGCGCAGAGGUUCCCUCAGGCUGAUUGGAAACCAGCCGAAGAGUGUAAAAGCAUAAGGGAGCUUGACUGCAACUCAUACAAGAGGAGCAGGUACGAAAGUAGGCUUUAGUGAUCCGGUGGUUCUGAAUGGAAGGGCCAUCGCUCAACGGAUAAAAGGUACUCCGGGGAUAACAGGCUUAUCACGCCCAAGAGUUCU
This 1525-nucleotide ribosomal RNA is filed under the name metagenome. RNAcentral's name for it is "bacterial LSU rRNA". It matches the Rfam family "Bacterial large subunit ribosomal RNA", at positions 1004 to 2502 of the family's 2925-position model. The record is from RNAcentral.